GCUCGGAUGAACGCUAGCUGGGAGCUUCACACAUGCAAGUCGAACGGGAGUGGCAGCUCGCUCCCAUGAGACUGGCGCACGGGUGAGUAACGCGUAUGCAACCUACCUUUAACAGAGGAAUAGCCCAUAGAAAUUUGGAUUAAUACCUCAUAGUUCUGAGAGACCGCAUGGUUUUCAGAUAAAGCUCAUGCGGUUAAAGAUGGGCAUGCGUGACAUUAGUUAGUUGGUGAGGUAACGGCUCACCAAGCCUACGAUGUAUAGGGGAUCUGAGAGGAUGGUCCCCCACACUGGUACUGAGACACGGACCAGACUCCUACGGGAGGCAGCAGUGAGGAAUAUUGGUCAAUGGGCGCAAGCCUGAACCAGCCAUGCCGCGUGAAGGAUGAAGGCCCUAUGGGUCGUAAACUUCUUUUAUACACCAAGAAAAAGCAGGACGUGUCCUGCCCCGACGGUAGUGUAUGAAUAAGCAUCGGCUAACUCCGUGCCAGCAGCCGCGGUAAUACGGAGGAUGCAAGCGUUAUCCGGAUUCAUUGGGUUUAAAGGGUGCGUAGGCGGCUUUUUAAGUCAGUGGUGAAAUCCUGUCGCUUAACGAUAGAAUUGCCGUUGAUACUGAAGAGCUUGAGUACAAUUGAGGUAAGCGGAAUGUGUAGUGUAGCGGUGAAAUGCUUAGAUAUUACACAGAACACCGAUUGCGAAGGCAGCUUACUAAACUGUUACUGACGCUGAUGCACGAAAGCGUGGGGAGCGAACAGGAUUAGAUACCCUGGUAGUCCACGCAGUAAACGAUGAUCACUCGCUGUAUGCGAUACACAGUAUGCGGCCAAGCGAAAGCAUUAA
RNAcentral lists this ribosomal RNA (837 nucleotides) under uncultured bacterium. RNAcentral describes it as "bacterial SSU rRNA". It matches the Rfam family "Bacterial small subunit ribosomal RNA", at positions 22 to 863 of the family's 1533-position model. The record is from RNAcentral.